Molecule: ribosomal RNA, 255 nt
Filed under: uncultured bacterium
Lineage: Bacteria
Description: partial 16S ribosomal RNA
Rfam family: Bacterial small subunit ribosomal RNA
Source: RNAcentral
UACGUAGGGUGCGAGCGUUGUCCGGAAUUAUUGGGCGUAAAGAGCUUGUAGGCGGUUUGUCGCGUCUGCUGUGAAAAUCCGGGGCUCAACCCCGGACUUGCAGUGGGUACGGGCAGACUAGAGUGUGGUAGGGGAGACUGGAAUUCCUGGUGUAGCGGUGAAAUGCGUACGAUAUCAGAGAACGAGACCGGUGGCGAAGGCGGGUCUCUGGACAGUUCCUGACGCUGAGGCACGAAGGCCAGGGGAGCAAACGGG